AUGCGGGCAGUAGCAGCAGCGCCGGGUCUGGAGUGGAGGUGCUCCGCGGUGGUGUUUCUCCAGCAGCGGCAGUUCUCGCUACAGCGCCAGGAGAGAUUUGGCUUUGUGACUUUUUCUUCCAUGGCUGAAGUUGAUGCUGCCGUGGCCGCAAGACCUCACUCAGUUGACGGGAGAGUGGUUGAGCCAAAACGUGCUGUUGCAAGACAGGAAUCUGGAAAGCCAGGGGCUCAUGUAACUGUGAAGAAGCUGUUUGUUGGUGGAAUUAAGAAAGAUACUGAGGAACAUCAUCUUAGAGAUUCCUUUGAGGAAUAUGGAAAAAUUGAUACCAUUGAGAUAAUUACUGAGAGGCAGUCUGGAAAGAAAAGAGGCUUUGGAUUUGUUACGUUUGAUGACCAUGAUCCUAUGGAUAAGAUUGUGUUGCAGAAAUACCAUACUAUCAAUGGUCAUAAUGCGGAAGUAAGAAAGGCUUUGUCCAGACAAGAAAUGCAGGAAGUCCAAAGUUCUAGAAGUGGAGGAGGAGGCAACUUUGGUUUUGGAGAUUCUCAUGGUGGUGGUGGUGGAAAUUUUGGACCAGAACCAGGAAGUAACUUUAGAGGGGGGUCUGAUGGAUAUGGACAUGGCCGUGGAUUUGGGGAUGGGUAUAAUGGGUAUGGAGGGGGACCUGGAGGUGGCAGUUUUGAAGGCAGCCCUGGUUAUGGAGGAGGAAGAGGAGGAUAUGGUGGUGGAGGACCUGGAUAUGGCAACCAGGGUGGGGGCUACGGAGGUGGCUAUGGCAGUUAUGGAGGAGGAAAAUACGGGAGUGGAAAUUACAAUGAUUUUGCAAAUUAUAACCAACAACCUUCUAACUAUGGUCCAAUGAAGAGUGGAAAUUUGGGUGGUAGCAGGAGCAUGGGGGCACCAUAUGGUGGAGGAAACUAUGGUCCAGGAGGCAGUGGAGGAAGUGGGGGUUAUGGAGGGAGAAGCAGAUACUGAGCUUCUUCCUAUUUGCCAUGGGCGUCACUGUAUAAAUAGGAGAGGAUGAGCACUCAAAGGUAACAGAACAGCUUCAGGUUAUCAAAAUAAUAAUGGUAAGGAAAAUCUUAUCUCAGUC
Capra hircus (goat) is the source of this 1090-nucleotide RNA transcript. It is a transcript of the gene named heterogeneous nuclear ribonucleoproteins A2/B1 pseudogene, with no coding region annotated. Lineage: Eukaryota; Metazoa; Chordata; Mammalia; Artiodactyla; Bovidae. The record is from RefSeq and is a predicted model, not a curated record. The transcript is spliced from 2 exons.